CAGUAGCCGCGGUAAUACGUAGGGUGCAAGCGUUAAUCGGAAUUACUGGGCGUAAAGCGUGCGCAGGCGGUUCUAUAAGACAGAUGUGAAAUCCCCGGGCUCAACCUGGGAACUGCAUUUGUGACUGUAGAGCUGGAGUGCGGCAGAGGGGGAUGGAAUUCCGCGUGUAGCAGUGAAAUGCGUAGAUAUGCGGAGGAACACCGAUGGCGAAGGUAAUCCCCUGGGCCUGCACUGACGCUCAUGCACGAAAGCGUGGGGAGCAAACAGGAUUAGAUACCCCCGUAGUCCCUGUCUCUUAUAC
Molecule: ribosomal RNA, 301 nt
Filed under: uncultured bacterium
Lineage: Bacteria
Description: partial 16S ribosomal RNA
Rfam family: Bacterial small subunit ribosomal RNA
Source: RNAcentral